Molecule: ribosomal RNA, 504 nt
Filed under: uncultured bacterium
Lineage: Bacteria
Description: partial 16S ribosomal RNA
Rfam family: Bacterial small subunit ribosomal RNA
Source: RNAcentral
AUUGAACGCUGGCGGCAGGCCUAACACAUGCAAGUCGAACGGUAGCACAGAGAGCUUGCUCUCGGGUGACGAGUGGCGGACGGGUGAGUAACGUCUGGGAAACUGCCCGAUGGAGGGGGAUAACUACUGGAAACGGUAGCUAAUACCGCAUAACGUCGCAAGACCAAAGUGGGGGACCUUCGGGCCUCACACCAUCGGAUGUGCCCAGAUGGGAUUAGCUAGUAGGUGGGGUAAUGGCUCACCUAGGCGACGAUCCCUAGCUGGUCUGAGAGGAUGACCAGCCACACUGGAACUGAGACACGGUCCAGACUCCGACGGGAGGCGGCAGUGGGGAAUAUUGCACAAUGGGCGCAAGCCUGAUGCAGCCAUGCCGCGUGUAUGAAGAAGGCCUUCGGGUUGUAAAGUACUUUCAGCGGGGAGGAAGGCGGUGAAGUUAAUAGCUUCACCGAUUGACGUUACCCGCAGAAGAAGCACCGGCUAACUCCGUGCCAGCAGCCGCCGUAA